This is a long non-coding RNA of Cavia porcellus (domestic guinea pig), 1396 nucleotides long. RefSeq lists it as uncharacterized. The record is from RefSeq and is a predicted model, not a curated record. The transcript has 4 exons. NCBI's taxonomy places the organism in Eukaryota, Metazoa, Chordata, Mammalia, Rodentia, Caviidae.
GAUUUUUUCUCUAGCAGUAGGAUCAGUGGAUUCAGGCAUCAUAAUGAGCCUCACCUGAUCUUUGUCAGAAAUGUUCUUCGUGUGACAACCACCAAGAUAGCCUGGAAAUUGUGAGAUUUCGACGUGACGUGAAUUAUGAGCCCUUAUCUUCUGGAAGAGACCAUUUGGCCAGGGGUGAAGAUGGCCCCACUGUCCCGAGUUCUGGGGCUUAAGGCAGAGACCAAGAAUCCCAGGCGGGUCUGACACACAAGGAGUGAUUGGGGAUAUAGAUGUUUAAAUUCCCUGAAAGCAAUUUCGCGAAGACAUUUUUCUUGUGUAAAUAAAAUUCUCUCAGUGAGCCUCUCCGCCAGUUAAAUGAGGCUCAAUUAGACGCUGCUAAUUUAAGCCCGCAUACUGCAUUCCGCCUGUGUACCUAAUUACCCCGUUUAGUUUGUUAAUGAUCAGAUCCUUGCCUGCGUUGCUAUCAGAGUGGGUCAUUAAUCUCCACUCUAGUUAGAUGCCUAUCUGCUUACAGGAAUAAAUCCUCAGAAAGAUUAUGAUUUGAUUUUUAAAGAAAUCAAGGACUUUUUUUUUAAAGUACCAAGGCAACUAACUGGUAAAAUGUAAGUUGUUUUUAUUCCUUUAUGUGAUGAGUGAGUUUUGGGCACUGAUUUCUCCAACAGACACUGCAGCUGUGAGGGGAGGAGAGACAGACACACCGUCAUCUGUGGUCAGGCCCACAAAGAGACAGGAAUAUAGCAAAGAUCAAGACACACAGAGAAGCAAAGGAGAGCAGGUGCUUCCACAGGAUGGCGAAGGCCUGGCAGCUUCUGUCAGGUUAGAAGUUGACCAGCCCAGUACAGGCCAGACCUGUGAGCUUCGCCAACAGCGGACCCUGCCCGAAACCUGAAGGGCAUCUACUUCCUGUCUGAGAAGCCAGGCCUGUGCUUGACAGUUUAUCUGAGGCUCACAUGUUCUUACUUUAUUUAAUCUGAAGAGAAAACCCAUGGGGAUUCAGGCCAUUUGAAAAUUCCCUUCCUUCACAGGACACAGCCAUGCCUUCCCACUUCUGUCAGCAAACCUCCUCGGACAGCACACAGCACCCCACCCUGCAGCCUUCGGACAUCGAUGGCAGGCGACGGUUUUGUUUGUCCCCACCUUCAGUGCAAUUCAGCAUGUAUUUAACAAAGGCAGGACAUCCCUGCCUAACAGGAGGAGAGGCCCGUGUUUUGGGGUAAUCCCCUCUCUUCCCAAGAAAGCACAAAAGGGUUUUCUCCCAGCUGCAUUUCACUCAGUUUGAUGUCUUCUGAUAAAUUCUUAUAAAUUCGAUGUUUUCUGAUAAAUUAUCCUCAUGUCAUGCUGAGAAAACCUCAACUUAUCACUUGAGCAAAGGUACAAUAAAGUCAUCAUAAACGUC